This 107-nucleotide ribosomal RNA is filed under the name Ictidomys tridecemlineatus (thirteen-lined ground squirrel). Lineage: Eukaryota; Metazoa; Chordata; Mammalia; Rodentia; Sciuridae. The record is from RNAcentral.
GUCUACGGCCAUACCACCCUGAACACGCCCGAUCUCAUCUGAUCUCGGAAGCUAAGCAGGGUCGGGCCUGGUUAGUACUUGGAUGGGAAACAAAAUUGUUCUACAUA